GACGAACGCUGGCGGCGUGCCUAAUACAUGCAAGUAGAACGCUGAAGGAGGAGCUUGCUUCUCUGGAUGAGUUGCGAACGGGUGAGUAACGCGUAGGUAGCCUGCCUGGUAGCGGGGGAUAACUAUUGGAAACGAUAGCUAAUACCGCAUAAGAGUAGAUGUUGCAUGACAUUUGCUUAAAAGGUGCAAUUGCAUCACUACCAGAUGGACCUGCGUUGUAUUAGCUAGUUGGUGGGGUAACGGCUCACCAAGGCGACGAUACAUAGCCGACCUGAGAGGGUGAUCGGCCACACUGGGACUGAGACACGGCCCAGACUCCUACGGGAGGCAGCAGUAGGGAAUCUUCGGCAAUGGACGGAAGUCUGACCGAGCAACGCCGCGUGAGUGAAGAAGGUUUUCGGAUCGUAAAGCUCUGUUGUAAGAGAAGAACGAGUGUGAGAGUGGAAAGUUCACACUGUGACGGUAUCUUACCAGAAAGGGACGGCUAACUACGUG
This 495-nucleotide ribosomal RNA is filed under the name uncultured bacterium. Its description in RNAcentral is "partial 16S ribosomal RNA". It matches the Rfam family "Bacterial small subunit ribosomal RNA", at positions 28 to 507 of the family's 1533-position model. The record is from RNAcentral.